GCUCCUGUAGCUCAGUCGGUAGAGCGUUUCCAUGGUAAGGAAGAGGUCGCAGGUUCUAUUCCUGUCGGGAGCA
Molecule: transfer RNA, 73 nt
Filed under: Brevibacillus laterosporus PE36
Lineage: Bacteria; Bacillati; Bacillota; Bacilli; Caryophanales; Paenibacillaceae
Description: tRNA-Thr
Rfam family: tRNA
About the family: Transfer RNA (tRNA) molecules are approximately 80 nucleotides in length. Their secondary structure includes four short double-helical elements and three loops (D, anti-codon, and T loops).
Source: RNAcentral